This 137-nucleotide ribosomal RNA is filed under the name Neogale vison (American mink). Lineage: Eukaryota; Metazoa; Chordata; Mammalia; Carnivora; Mustelidae. The record is from RNAcentral.
GUCUACGGCCAUACUACCCUGAACGCGCCCGAUCUCGUCUGAUCUCGGAAGCUAAGCAGGGUCGGGCCUGGUUAGUACUUGGAUGGAAGAAGCAUUAUUCCAUUUUUCUACAAAUAAUAAAUAAUUCCUUGUAUACC